This 272-nucleotide ribosomal RNA is filed under the name uncultured soil bacterium. RNAcentral's name for it is "partial 16S ribosomal RNA". It matches the Rfam family "Bacterial small subunit ribosomal RNA", at positions 26 to 285 of the family's 1533-position model. The record is from RNAcentral.
AGAAUCAACGCUGGCGGCGUGCCUAACACAUGCAAGUCGAACGCGACUAAGGGCUUCGGUUCUUAGUUGAGUGGCGAACGGGUGAGUAACACGUGGGUGAUCUACCUUCGAGCGGGGGAUAACGUUCCGAAAGGAACGCUAAUACCGCAUGAUGUCCUGGGCUUAAAGACCCGGAGACCAAAGCUAGGGACCGUAAGGCCUGGCACUUGAAGAGGAGCCCGCGUCCGAUUAGCUAGUUGGCGGGUAAUGGCCCACCAAGGCGACGAUCGGUA